CAGUCGCCACGGUAAUACGAAGGGGGCUAGCGUUGCUCGGAAUGACUGGGCGUAAAGGGCGCGUAGGCGGUUUAUACAGUCAGAUGUGAAAUUCCUGGGCUCAACCUGGGGACUGCAUUUGAUACGUAUGGACUUGAGUGGAGAAGAGGGUCGUGGAAUUUCCAGUGUAGAGGUGAAAUUCGUAGAUAUUGGAAAGAACACCGGUGGCGAAGGCGGCGACCUGGUCUUUAACUGACGCUGAGGCGCGAAAGCGUGGGGAGCAAACAGGAUUAGAUACCCCAGUAGUCCCUGUCUCUUAUAC
Molecule: ribosomal RNA, 301 nt
Filed under: uncultured bacterium
Lineage: Bacteria
Description: partial 16S ribosomal RNA
Rfam family: Bacterial small subunit ribosomal RNA
Source: RNAcentral